RNAcentral lists this ribosomal RNA (345 nucleotides) under Triticum aestivum (bread wheat). RNAcentral describes it as "partial small subunit ribosomal RNA". Lineage: Eukaryota; Viridiplantae; Streptophyta; Magnoliopsida; Poales; Poaceae. The record is from RNAcentral.
AUGGAAAUUUUGUAUCUUCAUUUCGCCAUCCAAAUUUUCACUAUUUUUUUCCAUGUCAAGAAAUUUCGUUUUUAUUUGGCCACGGCAAAUUUACUUGCACAUACAUGGCAAAUUUUCACCUUCAUACCCAUGCAACUGUCUUCACUCUUUUUGCCAUGUCAUAUUUUUUCCUUUUUUUUGCCAUGGCAAAAUUUAUCUUUCAUUUGCCAUGGAAAAAUAAAGGAUAAUUCAUGGAGCAUGGAAAAUAAAACUUUCUACUUUGCAUGUCAACUUUUACUUUAUUUUCGCCAUGGCAGUUUUUUAGCUUCAUUUGCCAUGGCAAUUUUACCUUUAGAUAGUUGGUAA